RNAcentral lists this long non-coding RNA (1314 nucleotides) under Medicago truncatula (barrel medic). RNAcentral's name for it is "long non-coding RNA (MTRU_LNC002743)". The record is from RNAcentral. Lineage: Eukaryota; Viridiplantae; Streptophyta; Magnoliopsida; Fabales; Fabaceae.
UUUUUUAUGCCCAUUUUCUUCCUUCUUUGACUUUGUCUUUUCCUCUUUGACUCUGUGGCAGCUACUAAUUCUUAAGAUCAAAUUUUAUGAAUCUAUAAAUCUUGUUUUUGGUAGCAUGAUAAAGAUCGAUGCAUCAUGCAUUUCAUUCAUGAUAUUAUAUGUCCUUGUAUUUACUUACACACAUAUGUUAAAAAAUAGAUUAAUAUUUAAAGCAUCAGAUUAUUAGGUUAAGUAAAAUGAAUAAAGUUCUAAAUAAGUUGUUAUAGUCAACUACAAAAUAGUGAUGAACAAAAUAGAAACAGUGAUAAAUUUCCUCCUUAAGGCUUCUCUCAAUUGAAUACGAGACUUCCUCCUCCACUUUUAUUUCCUGCACAAAUGUAAAAGAAAUAAAUUUAAUCAGAUUUAAUUUUGUUUACAUACAUUUGAAAUUACAUAAAUGAUUUAUUUGUACAACGUUUCUUAUGUAUGAUACAUAAUAUGAUUUAUAGUUGCAGUAAAUACAUGAAAACAUGAUUAACAAUGUGUUGGAGGGUCCAAACCCAAUGCCUACUAGUUUUGAUGAAGCAAACCUUGGUCAUGACAAUGAUACAAGUGAACCAAGCAUUGAACAUUUACAUACCGACACAGAUGAAGAAUACAUUGUUCACAGCAAUGAAGAAAUUGAAGAAAGUGAGGAAAUGGAUGAGCAUAAUUACUCUUUUGAUGAAGAAAGUGAUGCAGAAAUUGACAUGGAUGAGCAUAAUUACUUGAUCAUAUGUGUGACAAUUAUAAGGUAGGUGCUACAACUUGUAAGAAUUGAAGAAAGUGAGAAUACAAUAACGGUGAGUAAGACAUAAAAAUACUAUGAAUCACCUUAAGCAAUAUUCACUCCUUAAAAUGCAUCAAUUUGAAUCACUAUUUUUUUUCUUAGUGUGAAAAGCAUAUAAAAUUGUAAGCAAAACAAUCAAUCUAGUAAUUCAACAAUUAGAAAUUCAGAAUACAAGCCACCAAAAGCAAUUAUAACAAGCAAAUAAGAAAAAGAUACUGACAUAUCAAUCAGAACCAUGGUGAAACGAAAACGCAGAGAAAGACGGUAGAUUGGAAUUGUCUUCAACUUUACGAGGAGGAAAAUCAUGGUGACGAAGAAAGCGAGGAAGAAUGAGCUUGGUAGUAUUGGGGACGAUGAGCAACAUAGCGAAAUGCAAAUGCUGGUUGGGAAAGGAGGAGGAGGAAUAUAGAAAGGGAAAGGAAGAAAAUCAGGGACAUAAGAAGUCUUGUAAUAAUGAAGGAAAGAGAAAAAGAGAUGACCGAAAGUUAUAGAUAAAGGUUAUUUUA